GGGGCCGACUGGUUUUGACAGCGAGAUUAAUUAAAUAGUAAGCACGUCGUGUAAUGAUUUUGAAACACGUUAAAGGCUAGAUCAACUUUUUAAACGGCGAGAAUAACUACGCUUUAGCUGCCUAAUCUGAAUUAUAGUAGGAUUAAGCCUCGGCUCACAAGGUGAGCAAGCUUUAUGUCUCCGGAAAGCCUUGAUUGGCGGCGUUCCAUUUUGAGGCAUCGUAAAUGUCAAGAUAGAAUAGGUAGUGCUUUGAUGCUUAUUUGAAACUAAAAAAGAUAAGUUAAAAGUGGGUUGUCUUUAACCAGCUUUUAAUCGAAAACCCAAGAAAAGAAUAAACGUGUAGAAAGCUCUUUGGUUACUUGUUUGGACGAGAGUUCGAUUCUCUCCGGCUCCACAA
This is a non-coding RNA of Lacinutrix sp. 5H-3-7-4, 397 nucleotides long. It matches the Rfam family "transfer-messenger RNA". Rfam says of the family: Bacterial tmRNA, also known as 10Sa RNA or SsrA, is named for its dual tRNA and mRNA-like properties. Its role is to liberate the mRNA from a stalled ribosome. To accomplish this part of the tmRNA is used as a reading frame that ends in a translation stop signal. NCBI's taxonomy places the organism in Bacteria, Pseudomonadati, Bacteroidota, Flavobacteriia, Flavobacteriales, Flavobacteriaceae. The record is from Rfam.